Molecule: transfer RNA, 71 nt
Filed under: Camelus bactrianus (Bactrian camel)
Lineage: Eukaryota; Metazoa; Chordata; Mammalia; Artiodactyla; Camelidae
Also listed under: 2 other names
Rfam family: tRNA
About the family: Transfer RNA (tRNA) molecules are approximately 80 nucleotides in length. Their secondary structure includes four short double-helical elements and three loops (D, anti-codon, and T loops).
Source: Rfam by way of RNAcentral
GGGGUAUAGCUCAGUGGUAGAGCACAUGCUUAGCAUGCACAAGGUCCUGGGUUCAAUCCCCAGUACCUGCA